AUACCUUUCUCGGCCUUUUGGCUAAGAUCAAGUGUAGUAUCUGUUCUUAUCAGUUUAAUAUCUGAUAUGUGGGCUAUGUGCCCACAACGAUAUUAAAUUUAUUUUUCGUGGGGCGGGUCCACCACAGUGGCUUGCCACUGGGGCCCUCGCGUGUUGCCCAGGCGUUGCACUAUUGCCUGGCCAGGCGCACCCCAA
Non-coding RNA from Brachypodium distachyon (stiff brome), 195 nucleotides. The record is from Rfam. Lineage: Eukaryota; Viridiplantae; Streptophyta; Magnoliopsida; Poales; Poaceae.